UACGAAGGGGGCUAGCGUUGCUCGGAAUCACUGGGCGUAAAGGGCGCGUAGGCGGUCUUUUAAGUCGGGGGUGAAGGCCUGUGGCUCAACCACAGAAUUGCCUUCGAUACUGGGAGACUUGAGUUCGGAAGAGGUUGGUGGAACUGCGAGUGUAGAGGUGAAAUUCGUAGAUAUUCGCAAGAACACCGGUGGCGAAGGCGGCCAACUGGUCCGACACUAACGCUGAGGCGCGAAAGCGUGGGGAGCAAACAGG
Molecule: ribosomal RNA, 253 nt
Filed under: uncultured bacterium
Lineage: Bacteria
Description: partial 16S ribosomal RNA
Rfam family: Bacterial small subunit ribosomal RNA
Source: RNAcentral